AAAUUUCGCUCUCAAAUUUUCCGAAAUCCCCACCUCAAGUCCCUUCGGCCCCUUCCACCACGCGCAUUGCCCUAGAUUUUUCUUUUCUCCCCCACGCCGCCGCCACUCUCCACCUCCGUCCCCCACGCCGCCGCCACUCUCCACCUCCGCCCCCCACGCCGCCGCCACUCUCCACCUCCGCCCCCCACGCCGCCGCUCAUCUCCACCGUCGCCCCCAGACGCUGCCUACUUCUACCACGGGCCACCGUGCCACCAUAUGUGCUCGACCGUCGCCGCCCCCAUCGUUCCUCUCCACCGCAGUCCGCGUCCUGCCUCUCACCGCUGCUGCUCUUCCUCCCCGCCGCCACAAGAGUUGGACCACCACCCCGCCCUUUCCCCUCGUUGAGGUGGUCGUUCGCCAUCCCAAUUCCCUCAGGGCUGGGGUCGUGUGCUGGGAAUGGGUGUUGGUGGGGUGUUUGUGAAGCAACUGGGGGAUGAAGGAGAUUGCUAAUGAAGCCAUUUUAUGUUUCUCGGUGUCAUCUUGACAGAAAUUGAGCAGAUAAUGAAAAGAAGUGAUGAGGCAACAACGCGGGCAUCUUCUUUGAGUUACUAUGGUACAGAACAAUACUUGAGUAUAUAUUGUUAAUUCAGAGAGAGUAGUUCUAGCAAUGUUUGAUUCAUGAGUGAUGCUUGAAGUUUCAGAUUUACUAUGGUACAACACAGUAUUCAAUUUAGUAGCAGGCUUUUUGUGAGCUCAUUGGGCAACCCUUACUAAAAAUUGGAGAUCUACGGAAUCCAAAUUUUGUAGAUCCAACAGACUAGGAUCUAUCGAGACAUGUUUGCCUUUUGUAGGAAGGAAAUACACAAGAGAACAUAGUAGCCGGUGGUUGACAUCAAGAUUGCACAAUGGAGGAUUGAUGUUGGAGAUGAACCUUUUAGCUAUCAUUUUGUAAAACCGGAUCAGUAUGAACUUAUAGUCCCUAGUUUUUUCUCUAUCUUGGUAGUAGUGAACUUAGAUGAUGUUUCUUGCACAGUUUGUAAAUGUGAUGAAUUAAUGUACCAUAUUAUCAGUUGAUUUAAUAAUAUGCAUGUUGUUAA
Molecule: long non-coding RNA, 1077 nt
Organism: Brachypodium distachyon (stiff brome)
Lineage: Eukaryota; Viridiplantae; Streptophyta; Magnoliopsida; Poales; Poaceae
Exons: 7
Source: RefSeq, a predicted model, not a curated record